This 78-nucleotide transfer RNA is filed under the name Mollicutes bacterium. Its description in RNAcentral is "tRNA-His". It matches the Rfam family "tRNA". Rfam says of the family: Transfer RNA (tRNA) molecules are approximately 80 nucleotides in length. Their secondary structure includes four short double-helical elements and three loops (D, anti-codon, and T loops). Lineage: Bacteria; Bacillati; Mycoplasmatota; Mollicutes. The record is from RNAcentral.
GUGGGUGUGGCGAAGUUGGUUAACGCGCUAGGUUGUGACUCUGGUAUUUCGCGGGUUCAAGUCCCGUCACUCACCCCA